AAUGCCUAGGAAUCUGCCUGGUAGUGGGGGAUAACGUUCGGAAACGGACGCUAAUACCGCAUACGUCCUACGGGAGAAAGCAGGGGACCUUCGGGCCUUGCGCUAUCAGAUGAGCCUAGGUCGGAUUAGCUAGUUGGUGAGGUAAUGGCUCACCAAGGCGACGAUCCGUAACUGGUCUGAGAGGAUGAUCAGUCACACUGGAACUGAGACACGGUCCAGACUCCUACGGGAGGCAGCAGUGGGGAAUAUUGGACAAUGGGCGAAAGCCUGAUCCAGCCAUGCCGCGUGUGUGAAGAAGGUCUUCGGAUUGUAAAGCACUUUAAGUUGGGAGGAAGGGUUGUAGAUCAAUACUCUGCAAUUUUGACGUUACCGACAGAAUAAGCACCGGCUAACUCUGUGCCAGCAGCCGCGGUAAUACAGAGGGUGCAAGCGUUAAUCGGAAUUACUGGGCGUAAAGCGCGCGUAGGUGGUUUGUUAAGUUGGAUGUGAAAUCCCCGGGCUCAACCUGGGAACUGCAUUCAAAACUGACUGACUAGAGUAUGGUAGAGGGUGGUGGAAUUUCCUGUGUAGCGGUGAAAUGCGUAGAUAUAGGAAGG
RNAcentral lists this ribosomal RNA (596 nucleotides) under uncultured bacterium. RNAcentral's name for it is "bacterial SSU rRNA". It matches the Rfam family "Bacterial small subunit ribosomal RNA", at positions 112 to 704 of the family's 1533-position model. The record is from RNAcentral.